This 506-nucleotide ribosomal RNA is filed under the name uncultured bacterium. RNAcentral's name for it is "bacterial SSU rRNA". It matches the Rfam family "Bacterial small subunit ribosomal RNA", at positions 8 to 518 of the family's 1533-position model. The record is from RNAcentral.
AGGGUUCGAUUCUGGCUCAGGAUGAACGCUGGCGGCGUGCCUAACACAUGCAAGUCGAGCGGAGAUGUUGAGAGAUUCUUCGGAUGAUCUCUUCAUCUUAGCGGCGGAUGGGUGAGUAACACGUGGGUAACCUGCCCUGCACAGGGGGAUAACAGCUGGAAACGGCUGUUAAUACCGCAUAUGCACACGCUGCCGCAUGGCAGAGGGUGGAAAGAUUUAUCGGUGCAGGAUGGGCCCGCGUCGGAUUAACUAGUUGGCAGGGUAACGGCCUACCAAGGUUAUGAUCCGUAGCCGACCUGAGAGGGUGACCGGCCACAUUGGGACUGAGACACGGCCCAAACUCCUACGGGAGGCAGCAGUGGGGGAUAUUGCACAAUGGGCGGAAGCCUGAAUGCAGCGACGCCGCGUGAAGGAAGAAGUAUUUCGGUAUGUAAACUUCUAUCAGCGGGGAAGAAGAUGACGGUACCCGACUAAGAAGCCCCGGCUAACUACGUGCCAGCCGCUGC